RNAcentral lists this ribosomal RNA (497 nucleotides) under uncultured bacterium. RNAcentral's name for it is "partial 16S ribosomal RNA". It matches the Rfam family "Bacterial small subunit ribosomal RNA", at positions 28 to 507 of the family's 1533-position model. The record is from RNAcentral.
GAUGAACGCUGGCGGCGUGCCUAAUACAUGCAAGUCGAGCGAACAGACGAGGAGCUUGCUCCUCUGACGUUAGCGGCGGACGGGUGAGUAACACGUGGAUAACCUACCUAUAAGACUGGGAUCACUUCGGGAAACCGGAGCUAAUACCGGAUAAUAUAUUGAACCGCAUGGUUCAAUAGUGAAAGACGGCUUUGCUGUCACUUAUAGAUGGAUCCGCGCCGCAUUAGCUAGUUGGUAAGGUAACGGCUUACCAAGGCAACGAUGCGUAGCCGACCUGAUAGGGUGAUCGGCCACACUGGAACUGAGACACGGUCCAGACUCCUACGGGAGGCAGCAGUAGGGAAUCUUCCGCAAUGGGCGAAAGCUUGACGGAGCAACGCCGCGUGAGUGAUGAAGGUCUUCGGAUCGUAAAACUCUGUUAUUAGGUAAGAACAAAUGUGUAAGUAACUAUGCACGUCUUGACGGUACCUAAUCAGAAAGCCACGGCUAACUACGUG